This 5195-nucleotide long non-coding RNA is filed under the name Lactuca sativa (garden lettuce). Its description in RNAcentral is "long non-coding RNA (LSAT_LNC010333)". The record is from RNAcentral. Lineage: Eukaryota; Viridiplantae; Streptophyta; Magnoliopsida; Asterales; Asteraceae.
GAGAUUUUAACUCGAGAUUUUCACCCAAACUCGUAUUUUAACAUAAUAAACCCUAAAUAUUCAUAUUUUAACUAUAUUUUGGGGAAAAUCCUUGCCUAAGAAUAAAAUCUGCUUGGUGAGAUAUUUAGGUGGAGUGUUGACUUAUCCUUUGGACAAGGACACAAGCAACCAUCCCAUACUUGCAUAGUACAACCCUCAGUCACUAUUCCUCCAUGCUUAGUCAAUUAAUUGUCCUUUCACACUAUUUCACCAGCCCAUAAUCAGAUCAAAGGGCUAGAAAAUCUUCACAUCACUUCCCUUAAUAUUCACUCUUUCUCAAGAAGGAUCAAACCCAUUUCUCUCUCAUUUCCUCUCUCUAAAAUUCGAGAUUCAAAGGUUGGUCUUGGGUUUUUCCCCCACGAACUUCACAACCAAGUUACCCAAGUCAAAGGGUGGUCCCGAUACCCUUUGGGUAAUUCUUGAUAGGUCGACCAAAUCCGCGCACUUCCUACCAAUCAAAGGAACCAGCAAGAUGGAGAAUUUGACUAGAACGUACAUCAAAUAGAUCACAUGACUGCAUGGUGUGUUAAUACCCAUUAUCUCUAACAGAGAUGGUAGAUUCCUUUCGUGAUUCUGGCAACCCUUAUAGGGACUAGACUAGGCUUGAGUACGGCCUACCACCAGCAAACUGACGGGCAGAGCAAAGGAAACCAUUCACACCUGGGAAGACAUGCUAAUGGCUUGGGUGAUUGACUUUGGUAAAGCGUGGUGAUGCCCACUUUCCAUUCAAUGAAUUUUUGCACAACAACAACAAUCACCCUAACAUCAAGGUCGCUGCAUUCAAAGCUUUCUAUAUCCGUAAGGGCAGAUCACCACUGCGCUUGGCUGAAGUGGGAGAUACACAACUAGAGAAGGGGUGAGUCCUUAACAGCACCCUCACUGACCCUGAAAUCAUAAGAGAGACAACAGAAAAAAUCGUACAAAUUCGAGAAAGACUGAAAGCGUCUUGAGAUCGAAAAAAGAGCUAUGCAUAUAAGCGACUCAAACCCUUGGAUUUCCAGGUUGGUGACCAUGUACUACUGAAGGUCUCACCGUGGAGAAGAAUGGUACGUUUUGGUAAACGUGGGAGCUAAAUCCAAGACACAUCGGGUCAUUUGAAAUCUUCGCCAGGAUUGGGCACUGGUAGACAAACUUCGACUGCCACAAGAACUUAAUAACAUACAUCUUACCUUCCACGUAUCAAACUUAAAAGAAAUGCCUAUCCGACGAGACUCUCGUGAUCCCACUCGAUGAAAUCAAACUCGACGAGAGUCUCCACUUUGUGGAAAAACCGAUAGAAAUCAAGCCGUAUUCCUAUUGUGAAUGUCCGUUGGAACGCUAAACGAGGACCCAAAUUUACAUGGGAAUGCAAGGAUCAAAUGAAACGAAAGUAUCCACAUCUUUUCCCAAACUCUUGAAGUCCUUAUCAAAAUGAUAAUUUCGGGACGAAAUUCCUUCUAACGGGGGGAUGAUGUGACAACUGUCAAUUUCUAGUCGAGUCAAAGUCAAAUGAAGUCAUCAAGUCAAACCGGUCAACUCAACUAACCCUUGUUUACUAGGGUUUACGUUAUGUAAUUAUUGUUCAACUCGCUAUUUUAAUAAGAAGUCAUCACUUGGAAAGUUCAUAAGUUUAGGAUUCUUGAACCCUAAUCGGGGUAAGAGAUGUAACAAAACGAUAAAACACUAUUGCAUACCCUUCGGAUGUGUGUAAGAUCCUUAAACAUGGCUUAUUGGGGAUUACGAACCUUGCAUUUCGAAGUUAAACAAUCGUAGAGGUCACAAACUAAGUCUCUCUCGAUCUCUCUCACUCUAUCUCUCUCUAUCUUAGAUCUCUCCCAAAUCUCUCUCUUAAUGAGAAAUCUCUCCAAGUAUGUGAAAUCUCUCCCAAAUCUCUCUUUAAAUGAGAAAUCUCUCCAAGUAUGUGAAAUCUCUCCCAAAUCUCUCUCUGGAUGAGAAAUCUCACCAAGUAUGUGAAAUCUCUCUCAAAUCUCUCUCUGAAUGAGAAAACUCUCCAAGUAUGUGAAAUAUCUCCCAAAUCUCUCUCUGAAUGAGAAAUCUCUCCAAGUAUGUGAAAUCUUUCGCAAAUCUCUCUCAACUUCUUAUAAUCACGCAGGGCAUCCCGACCCUUAAUUUAGACGAAAACUGCUCGAAAAAGGAAGUUUAUGCGAAAAACAGCCUUAAGGAGCCGAACCCUCUUAAGUCACCCUUAAGGAGCCGAACCCUCUUAAGGAGAAGAACCCUUCUACUAGAAACGAAACUAAGAAGAACCGAAGGUAAGAGGACCAAAGCUACCCUUUGAGAACCGAACUUAGCUCGCCUGAACCGAACCUCGCCUAGGACCGAGCCUCGCCUUCGCUCCCUUCCCUUCGCAUGCGAGACUUCUCAGGGACCGAACUCUCCUCUCGGUUCUCAUCUACUUUCGGUUCUAUGAGCUGGAACCGAACCACCGGCCCUGAAUUUCGGAAUUUGGCAAAUUUUCCCCGGUUUUCAAGAUUUUUAGCGUUUGGAGCCCGUUUAUCGAGAUUUUAACUCGAGAUUUUCACCCAAACUCGUAUUUUAACAUAAUAAACCCUAAAUAUUCAUACUUUAACUAUAUUUUGGGGGAAACUCCUUGCCUAAGAAUAAAAUCUGCUUGGUGUGAUAUUUAGGUGGAGUGUUGACUUAUCCUUUGGACAAGGACACAAGCAACCUUCCCAUACAUUCAUAGUACAACCCUCAGUCACUAUUCCUCCAUGCUUAGUCAAUUAAUUGUCCUUUCACACUAUUUCACCAGCCCAUAAUCAGAUCAAAGGGCUAGAAAAUCUUCACUUCACUUCCCUCAAUAUUCAGUCUUUCUCAAGAAGGAUCAAACCCAUUUCUCUCUCAUUUCCUCUCUCUAAAAUUCGAGAUUCAAAGGCUGGUCUUGGGUUUUUCCCCCACGAACUUCACAACCAAGUUACCCAAGUCAAAGGGUGGUCCCGAUAACCCUUGGGUAAUUGUUGAUAGGUCGACCAAAUCCGUGCACUUCCUACCUAUCAAAGGAACCAGCAAGAUGGAGAAUUUGACUAGAACGUACAUCAAUCAGAUCACAUGACUGCAUGGUGUGUUAAUACCCACUAUCUCUAACAGAGAUGGUAGAUUCCUUUCGCGGUUCUGGCAACCUUUACAGGGACUAGACUAGGCUUGAGUACGGCCUACCACCAGCAAACUGACAGGCAGAGCAAAGGAAACCAUUCAAACCCGGGAAGACAUGCUAAUGGCUUGGGUGAUUGACUUUGGUAAAGCGUGGGGAUGCCCACUUACCAUUCAUUGAAUUUUUGCACAACAACAACAAUCACCCUAAUAUCAAGGUCGCUCCAUUCAAAGCUUUUUAUAGCCAUAAGGGCAGAUCACCACUGUGCUUGGCUGAAGUGGGAGAUACACAGCUAGAGAAGGGGUGAGUCCCUAACAACACCCUCACUGACCCUGAAAUCAUAAGAGAGACAACGGAAAAAAUCGUACAAAUUCGAGAAAGACUGAAAGCAUCUCGAGAUCUACAAAAGAACUACACAUAUAAGCGACUCAAACCCUUGGAUUUCUAGGUUGGUGACCAUGUACUACUAAAGGUCUCACCGUGGAGAAGAAUGGUACGUUUUGGUAAACGUGGGAGCUAAAUCCAAGACACAUCGGGUCAUUUGAAAUCUUUGCCAGGAUUGGCCACUGGCAGACAAACUUCGAUUGCCACAAGAACUUAAUAACAUACAUCUUACCUUCCACGUAUCAAACUUAAAAGAAAUGUCUAUCCGACGAGACCCUCGUUAUACCACUCGAUGAAAUCAAACUCGACGAGAGUCUCCACUUUGUGGAAAAACCGAUAGAAAUAAAGCCACAUUCCUAUUGUGAAUGUCCGUUGGAACGCUAAACGAGGACCCAAAUUUACAUGGGAACGCGAGGAUCAAAUGAAAAGAAAGUAUCCACAUCUUUUCCCAAACUCUUGAAGUCCCCAUCAAAAUGCUAAUUUCGGGACGAAAUUCCUUCUAAUGGGGGGAUGAUGUGACAAUUGUCAAUAUCUAGUCGAGUCAAAGUCAAAUAAAGUCAACAAGUCAAACCGGUCAACUCAACUAACCCUUGUAUACUAGGGUUUACGUUAUGUAAUUAUUGUUCAACUCGCUAUUUUAAUAAGAAGUCAUCACUUGGAAAGUUCAUAAGUUUAGGAUUCUUGAACCCUAAUCGGGAUAAGAGAUGUAACAAAAUGAUAAAACACUAUUGCAUACCCUUCGGAGGUGUGUAAGAUCCUUAAACAUGGCUUCUUGGCGAUUACGUACCUUUCAUUUCGAAGUUAAACACUCGUAGAGGUCACAAACUAAGUCUCUUUCGAUCUCUCUCACUCUAUCUCUCUCUAUCUUAAAUCUCUCCCAAAUCUCUCUCUAAAUGAGAAAUCUCUCCAAGUAUGUGAAUUCUCUCCCAAAUCUCUCUCUGAAUGAGAAAUCUCUCCAAGUAUGUGAAAUAUCUCCCAAAUCUCUCUCUGAAUGAGAAAUCUCUCCCGAAAUCUCUCUCAAAAUCUCUGUCAACUUCUUAUAAUCACCCGGGGCAUCCCGACCCUUAAUUUAGACGAAAACCGCUCAAAAACGGAAGUUUACGCGAAAAACAUCCUUAAGGAGCCGAACCCUCUUAAGGAGAAGAACCCUUCUAUUAGAAAAGAAACUAAGAAGAACCGAAGGUAAGAGGACCAAAGCUACCCUUUGAGAACCGAACUUAGCUCGCCUGAACCGAACCGCGCCUAGGACCGAGCCUCGCCUUCGCUCCCUUCCCUUCGCAUGCGAGACUUCUCAGGGACCGAACCCUCCUCUCAGUUCUCAUCUACUUACGGUUCUAUGAGCUGCAACCGAACCCCCGGCCCAGAAUUUCGGAAUUUGGCAAAUUUUGCCCGGUUUUCAAGAUUUUUAGCGUCUGGAGCCCAUUUAUCGAGAUUUUAACUCGAGAUUUUCACCCAAACUCGUAUUUUAACAUGAUAAACCCUAAAUAUUCAUAUUUUAACUAUAUUUUGGGGAAAAUCCUUGCCUAAGAAUAAAAUCUGCUUGGUGAGAUAUUUAGGUGGAGUGUUGACUUAUCCUUUGGACAAGGACACAAGCAACCUUCCCAUACUUUCAUAGUACAACCCUCAGUCACUAUUACUCCUUGCUCAGUCAAUUAAUUGUCCUUUCACACUAUUUCACCAG